UCNCAGGCUUUUGUAUCUGUAUUUCUUGA
RNAcentral lists this non-coding RNA (29 nucleotides) under Mus musculus (house mouse). The record is from RNAcentral. Lineage: Eukaryota; Metazoa; Chordata; Mammalia; Rodentia; Muridae.